Molecule: ribosomal RNA, 524 nt
Filed under: uncultured bacterium
Lineage: Bacteria
Description: partial 16S ribosomal RNA
Rfam family: Bacterial small subunit ribosomal RNA
Source: RNAcentral
GACGAACGCUGGCGGCGUGCCUAAUACAUGCAAGUCGAACGAAGCUGUUUUAACUGGUGCUUGCACCGACUUAAACAACUGAGUGGCGAACGGGUGUGUAACACGUGGGUAACCUGCCCCAAAGCGGGGGAUAACAUUUGGAAACAGAUGCUAAUACCGCAUAACCACAGAAACCACAUGGUUUCUGUGUCAAAGAUGGUUUCGGCUAUCACUUUGGGAUGGACCCGCGGCGUAUUAGCUAGUUGGUAAGGUAAUGGCUUACCAAGGCAAUGAUAGGUAGCUGAACUGAGAGGUUGAUCAGCCACAUUGGGAGUGAGACACGGCCCAAACUCCUACGGGAGGCAGCAGUAGGGAAUCUUCCACAAUGGACGAAAGUCUGAUGGAGCAACGCCGCGUGAGUGAAGAAGGUUUUCGGAUCGUAAAACUCUGUUGUCAGAGAAGAACGUGGGCGAGAGUAACUGUUCGUGCAGUGACGGUAUCUGGCCAGAAAGCCACGGCUAACUACGUGCCAGCAGCCGCCGUAA